This 1421-nucleotide long non-coding RNA is filed under the name Helianthus annuus (common sunflower). RNAcentral describes it as "hypothetical non coding rna". Lineage: Eukaryota; Viridiplantae; Streptophyta; Magnoliopsida; Asterales; Asteraceae. The record is from RNAcentral.
AUGAUAACUGCCUUGCAGCUUUACUGUGCCGCUGCUAGGUUUGUGGUUUUGCUUGCAGUUGGAUGAUUGGCACAGCAUUCCCCGACAAGUGAUCUUUCUUCUUAGAUUUUCAAGCUUUUUACUUCGGGUUCUUGAUUCAGUUUCAUUUAUAGCCUAAUUUACACACUGAUAUGAUCGUGGGCAGUCAUAAGUUCUAUCCGCUGUUGUAUUAUUAUCGUAUCUUUUAACGGUAUGUAUGAGUCACUGAGUCGGUGUUAUUAUUUUAGUCUGGUACUAUCUGAUCUGGUUUGAUCUUCUUACCUUAGCUCCUGUUAUAUUACUUGAAGUCUUAUUACUUGACUUCAGAUGCCAUUUGGACAUGUUCGGUUUUUGUUAUGGGUGGAUGGUCAUUUGAGGUUAGUUUGGUGGGUGAAGUUUAGGCCAAGGGCCUUUGGGUUGACUAUAUUGACGUCUAUUAUUAGCUUAGAUUUUAUUGACUUUUAAGAGAGACCCGUCUUGUCUUCUUCUUGAUAAAUGCUAGAAUGCUCAAGGGGAUCGCUGAUGCUGUAUAGGAUUCUCCUGAUUCAUCUGGUCACUGGUGACAAUUUUAAGCAAGCGUUUUUGUUCAUUUUGUUUACCUUUACGUGGCAAUACAAUGGUUGUUCAUGAUUCAGUUUACUCUUAGUGGUGUUGGAGGCAUUAUAGUUCUGAUGGAGAGCACAAGCUACCUAUUUUCUUGAUUGUCUAUGCAGGUUCUUUUUUUAUUAUGAUUUUAUUAUGGGGUCAACGCCACUGUAUAUAUUUGUGUUUCUUCUGCUAUUAUAGUGCCUUUUUAACAUCCAAACGCUCAAUGGCUUUCAUCGCUCGUCACUGCCAGCUUCUGUAAUAUCUUUUAAGAUUUGCUUUUAACAUAUUUAUUUAUUAGUCUCUUACUUAGCAAGUGUGGAUAGGAGUGUAGGACUCAUUUCUUUUGUUGCUUGUAAAACCAGAUAGAAUAUUGGACAACAAGGUUAUGUUCUACUGAUUUGUCUUCAGUCUUCUCUGUUCUCUCUACUGGGUCUUGUUCUCAGUGUACCAUAUCUGCUACUUUGAUCCAUGGUUCUGUUAGUGAGGUGCUAAACAUUGUUGUCCAAUAACCAACUCCGGGUUCUUCUCUAAUUCUUAAUAGCAACUUUCUGGUUACCAGUAUUAUUUUUGUCCUUCUAUCAUCAUGAGGAACUUGCAGAAGGAACUUUGUGGUACUGUGUAUAUGUUUUGCAGAACGAGAAUUAGGGAACUCCUUAUUUUGAUUAGUUUCAUCUCAUUAGUUACUGUCCUUUUAUCGGCCUUUGGAGGCAAAUAACUGCAGUUUCUUUAUGGGCUUGUCAACAUUUAUUGUGCCUGGAUGAUCAUUUCAGCUGACAUAAGCAUAUACGGAUAAUCCAAUCUUUUUUAUGGCUGUA